GCUGGGCGCGGUGGCUCACGCCUGUAAUCCUAGCAGUUUGGGAGGCCGAGGUGGGCGGAUCACCUGAGGUCAGGAGUUCGAGCCUGACCAACAUGGAGAAACCCCAUCUCUA
This 112-nucleotide non-coding RNA is filed under the name Gorilla gorilla gorilla (western lowland gorilla). Lineage: Eukaryota; Metazoa; Chordata; Mammalia; Primates; Hominidae. The record is from Rfam by way of RNAcentral.